This is a long non-coding RNA of Pieris napi, 733 nucleotides long. RefSeq lists it as uncharacterized. The transcript is spliced from 3 exons. The record is from RefSeq and is a predicted model, not a curated record. Lineage: Eukaryota; Metazoa; Arthropoda; Insecta; Lepidoptera; Pieridae.
UAAGGUUAUCAUUUAAUAUAAGGUAUUUUAUAGUUGUUUAAAGUGUAAUAAUGAUAUUUGUAAUAAUAACAACGGUAACUAAGAAUGAAGUUUGUUUUGUCGCAAUCGCGUGACAGUAGCUGCCGUGCCCCGUUGGACAUUUCAGUUUUGCGAAAUAAAAUCAACUAUAAUACAAGAUUAAUUCGCGUAAAGCUCCAAGAUUCCGUCAACCACUGUCUUCACCGCAUUCUGGGUAUCUACUGGCCCGAGAUAAACUCUAACGUGGAAAUGAAUAGCCCAUACAGAAAAUAUUCCAACUCUAUCCCCAAACAGGUGCUUGAUUUGAUACCGCAAGGAAAGUGGAAGCGAGGCUAUACCCCGCCAGAGUUACAGGGAAAGAGAACCGGAAAGACUUGGUUACUAUUGGAUUCAACCGUGCAACUCUCAACACGGUUAUCUUCGACAUCUACCCGAAAUAUUAAGAAGCUUCAGAAGCAACUGGACGAUUUCUGCAGUAAGAUGAUGCGUCACGCGCAAGAAGAGCGUAGCAGAGGCGAGACGACGGGCCCCACUCGCCUAUGAAUAUUGAAUAGUAAUAUUUAUAUAUUAUAAGGAAACUAGCUGACCCGGCUGACGUUGUUUUGCCAUGUAUAUUAUUACUAAGAAACAUUAUUUUAGUACAAUAAAAAUAACUAUCUGCUAUAUUAAAAAAUAGCGGUUAAUCGUGGAAUCGUUAAGGAGUGAAAAUUAAGGG